AUGCCCGCGUCGCCCGCACGGGCGGAACCAGAUCUCCGCCGCCGGAACUCCCUCCUCUACAUCUCCUCCUCGCCGCCGCUGGCUUAUGCCGCUAGGCAAAGCCUGCCGGCGGCCGGCGGCGGCGGGCUUCCUCCGGUGCGGCCCUGGUGUUGGGUGCGCGGCGUACAUGGCGGUGGCCGAUGCAGCGGCUGCGCAGCGCAUCAGAUCGACAGCUACUCGUGGAACCUCUCGUCCUUGCCGGUGUUGUGGUGCUCAGCGCGAGGCGAGGUGACACGGGUGGUACAGAGCGCGAUCUGGGCAUGUGUGGGCUGCGGCUCGGUAGGGCUCCGGCUGUGGGGCUUGCUCACGGAGGAGCGCGGGCGCCGGGGCGGCGGCCCCGGGUCUCUUCUGCAGCGACGGCGGACAUGGUGGCUGCGUGGGUAG
This 423-nucleotide ribosomal RNA is filed under the name Triticum aestivum (bread wheat). Its description in RNAcentral is "partial small subunit ribosomal RNA". The record is from RNAcentral. Lineage: Eukaryota; Viridiplantae; Streptophyta; Magnoliopsida; Poales; Poaceae.